UCCGCUUCCUGGAGGCCAUCGCCGCGCACCGCCGCGCCCACGGCGGCGACUUCCCAACAGCCGUCGAGCUCCUCGCGGCGCUCGACGGCCGCCUCGAAAUGAAGGGCGUCGGCUGAUGUAAACAAGAAGCAGCGCAGCCUCAUGCGCCGCUACCAUCGCCACGCCAAGAAGGCCGAACCACCGGUAGAUGAACACGAGCGUCACAUUUAUUUCCUCUCCAGGGACGUGUGGGCCGACGACUCCCCGCCCAAACCACCGGUCGCUCAGGCAAAAAGCAUCAGGGGAGGCUCCCCGCUGAAACCACGGACCACCGAAGCCACCAAGGACAGCAAGGAUGCCACCCAGGCGAAGAGCGCCGGCGAGCCAGCCAAGGACGAGUCCAAGCCCAGGACUUUGGCAGAGAUGCGUGAGCAGUACCCGUACCUUGUUGAUGAGUCUAUGGUCCUCGUGGAUCCGCCGAUCCUCCAGAAACUCCUCCCCAGCAUCGAAGACAACAAGGCCCAGGCACUGAACAAGAAGAUCAUGAAGGCGAGGAAGCAGCUCGUCAAGGCCAUCACGGAAUCGGCAAGGAUAAAAAACAUGGAAACACCCACAAUAUUUCUAUAUCAAUCCACUAAGCUUCAAUCGGAAAAGCCAAGGUUGGAGAAAAAGGAUGGUGAGGAUAUUUGUGCUCAAGGACGACUGGAACGAGUGGAGCAUGAAUUAGCGGAAAUGAGACAACUUUUCAUUGCUUCUCAAAAUAAUGCUAUAAGAUGUGAAAAUGCAGAAAGUGGCCUUCAGUCAGUUGUAGCUGAAAAUCAGAUUUCGUGCAAUAUGAUACAAAAGAAGAUAAAGGUACCAAAUGGCUUGCCUCAUGGAAAGAAUAAGGAGGUUACAUCUAAAUAUAAAUAUGAUGGUGUCCUUCCCAGCAAUGUCCCGUGCGACAAUCUGGGUGGCAAAGAGGUUGUGUUGAUUUCUCUAGAACGACCGCGUACUCCAGUAGGCAAAGCUAUUCUUGAACACAGUUCUCCAUCUACAAUAGUAGGGGGCAUUGCACUUGGAACACAGUGUUGUAAGGUGUUUCUAAGAGAGGUAUUGCAAAGGGAUGCUCCACUGUUUCACAAAUAUGGGGAGAUGAUGAAGAUGUCUGAUGCACUUUAUUCUUCUAUUCCAUGGCCAAGUGUCCUAGUAAUAUCUUUAAUCCAUCAUUCUAAUUAUUCUAGGUUAUUUUUAUUGCCAUAGAACUAAAGAAGUAAAAAUGUUUUCUUUGCAGGUCAAAGGUAAUGCCAUUGCUAGCACGGCACCACUUUACCAACUGUCUCAUCAACAUAUUAUUAAUUGCCUUCUGCUAUGCGAAACUUGUUUUCUUCAAAAAUACCAUGUGAAUUUUCCUAGUAUUUUUCUCAGUUUUUGGUGUUUUAUUGUUGACCACCUAUAUAGAUCUGUUGAAUGAUAAACCUUUUGAGAAAUUUCCAAAACUGCGAACAUUCUCUACUUUACAUUGACUAUUCUUUUUAUAAGAUGCAGUUCUCAAGGCUUUUAAAAACAUAUUCCAAAUUUUGGUUGUUUCCAAAUUUUUCAACACAAAAAAUCCAAAUCAUUAAUUUGGAGAUGCAUCUGAGCAGUCUUGUAAAAACAGAUGCUAAUUAAGUUGUAUGGAAAAGCUUGUGAGAUUAUCUUCUACAUUUAGGAAAUUGAAAUUUUGAUUUCUGAAAAUUUACAUGGAACAAUGAUUUGCUUGAUGUUUUGAGUGACAAUGGCUUCAACGUGGAAUGUGUAUGCUACCACAGAAUUGUUUUCUAUGGCCAGCUAUGUACUGGCCACUUAUAAAUAGGUUCAUCCCAUAGGGAUGCUUACUGAGCAUGCUGAUCUUCUGGUUGCAUGCAUGCUAGCACUCACUGUGUGCCACAUUUUUGGAGGUGUGUGCUCAAUAUUGUGAGAAGCAUGCAAUAGUAUCAUUACAUUCUAUAUGUAUCUGACCUAGUUUUUUGAUAUAAAUUGAAGUCAGUUGCUAUCUUAUAAGCGCAACAGCUAAUUAAUUCAUUUUUAUUGUGUCAUACAGGUCAUUGACAAAGCGCCUCGAGAUGGUGAAGCGUCGUUUUGCAGAUAACAUCGAUGUUGGGUAGUAAUAUAUAUUAUGCUUUUUAUCUUCAAACAGGGCAAGUACUUUUGGUAUGAAUGUUCUAAUGGAAAAAUAUCUUGAUUGGGCUGGGUGUAUUGUUUAUCUGCUGGUUCUGUUCAUAUGGAUGAAAAUGUGUGGUGUUUUUUUU
Molecule: RNA transcript, 2249 nt
Organism: Panicum virgatum (switchgrass)
Lineage: Eukaryota; Viridiplantae; Streptophyta; Magnoliopsida; Poales; Poaceae
Exons: 6
Source: RefSeq, a predicted model, not a curated record